CCCUUUACCACAUAUAUACGCGAAACAACGCACUUUCGACCCCCCCUUUUUUUUGGGCCUCAAAUAGUGAAAAAAUGUCCUAUUUGGGCCCCAAACAUAAGUUUUCGUUUGAGAAAUGUUGCUAAAAAAAUUGAGCACUUUUUCGGCGCCGCCGCCCAUCCAAAAGAUACAUCAGGGGGUUGCCAGAAGGGGGAUGUGCCCCCUUCUGUUAGGGGGGUUUGAAGGGGGGCGGAGUCCCCCUCAUCGCCAAGAAAAUUUUGGACUUGUGAGAGGCUAAAAAUGACCCCAGGUCGAUCAUAAUGUAACGUUUAACCAACGCUGAAAAGCCUUUGACUCUAUCUCAAUCCCUUGAGAAGUUGCAGCACUUUGAAAUAAAUUUUGAUGGAAAAAAUCGAGGCAAAAUAGUGAUUUUUGGCAAUUUUGAGAUGUCCCCUCGUUGCCAUGGUAACAGGAAAUUUAAGACUGAGCAUGUCGUUACAAAGGCAAUGGUCCAGUCAACAUUUGUGCCAAGUUUGAUUAGUAUUGAAGCAUUUUUCAUAGUUUCAUAGCAGUUUGAACUUGUAACAGGAGGCUUUUCAGUGAAAACGGCCAUUUUUCACAAUAUGCUCAUGGGGGAAAGGGUUAACUAAAAAAAAUAUAAAUGUUACAAAACAACAAUUUUUCACCAAAAUUAGGUGAAAGACCACAUGUUAACAUGGAAAAACUAGUUUUUAGGUGAUUCCAAAGUUUUUCAUCAUUUUUUGUUAACCCUUUACCACAUAUAUACGCGAAACAACGCACUUUCGACCCCCCCCCCUUUUU
Molecule: long non-coding RNA, 801 nt
Organism: Ruditapes philippinarum (Manila clam)
Lineage: Eukaryota; Metazoa; Mollusca; Bivalvia; Venerida; Veneridae
Exons: 2
Source: RefSeq, a predicted model, not a curated record